Molecule: unclassified non-coding RNA, 159 nt
Filed under: uncultured Trichocladium
Lineage: Eukaryota; Fungi; Ascomycota
Description: sequence contains ITS1
Source: RNAcentral
AUGGUGCUUGCAGAAAUGCUUGCACGGCGGCGGCCUUAAAACGCGCCAAAUGGCACCCUUUGUUUACGAGUACCGUUCGUUUCCUCGGUGGGCUUGCCUGCCAUGAGGACCAACAAAAACCUUUUGUAGUAGCAGUAUCUUCAGUAAAAACAAAUAUUA